UUUAUAAAAAUUUAUACUUUUUAUUUACUAUGAUUGGUUGAAAAAAGGUUAUAAUAAUGUUAUUUGUCACUGCAAAGGAGUUUAGUUGAAAAAUUUAAAAGUAAAUCUAAUGUACCUUUUGCAUAAGGGAUUUUCUAUAAAAAUUAAACAUUUAUUUUUCUCGAAAUAAAUUGACCUAAAAUUAAUAUAUAAUUUAUAUUACAUUAUAAAUUCUAAAUUUAUUUUAGAUGUGAAAUGCUUGUCAAAAUUUAAGAUAACUAGUUUAUUAAAAAAAUUUUACAUUGGCCCAUAAUUAUUUUUUUUUUUUAAUUGACAUUUUUAUAGGUUAGAAUCUUUAGGAUAAGCUAAAGGUUAAAAUUUUUUUAAAAUUAAAGUUUUUAAAAUAAUAUAAGAAAUAUAAUUGUUCUUUGUACUGUUAUAAGUAAAUUUAAAUAAUUGUUUAAAUUUAAUUUAUUUUUAAUAAAAUAAAAAAUAAUGUUUAUUUUAAAAAAUGAAAGUAUUAGUAAAAUUAUUUAAUAAUUUAAAAAAUUAAUUUUAAUAUAAUUUAUAAAUUAAAAUAAGUUUUAAUAAUUCGGCAAAAUUUUUCUUUGACUGUUUAAUAAAAACAACUUAUUCAGAAAGAUACAUUUUAUUGAAUAUAAAUCCUGCUCAAUGAAAUUUUUAAAUUGCUGUAGUAUUUUGACUAUACAAAGGUAUUGUAAUAAGAUUUUAAUUGAAUGCUAAGAGAAUGGAACUACAAGGAAGAGCUAUUUUAAACUUAAAAAUUAAAGUUAUUUUAAUUUGUGAAGAAACAAUUAUUAAAAUUAAGGACAAGAAGACCCUAAGAAUUUUAAAAUCAAUAAUUUUUUAUUAUAAAAGCUUAUUGAUUUUUAGUUGGGGCAACUAAAAAAUAUUAUAAACUUUUUUAUAAAUAAAAUGAUCCAUUAUUAAUGAUAAUUUGGAAAAAAUACUCUAGGGAUAACAGCGUAAUAAUUUUUGAUAGAACAUAUAGACAAAAUAGUUUGCGACCUCGAUGUUGGAUUAGGAUUCUUUUUUAAUGAAGAUGUUAAAAGAAGAAGUUUGUUCAACUUUUAAAGUCCUACAUGAUCUGAGUUUAGACCGAUGAGAAUCAGGUUGGUUUCUAUCUUAAUUGAAAUAAAUUUUUUGGUUAGUACGAAAGGAAUUCCAAAAUUUAAUUUAUUUAAUAUAAUA
RNAcentral lists this ribosomal RNA (1191 nucleotides) under Dermacentor albipictus. Its description in RNAcentral is "16S ribosomal RNA". The stretch from base 957 to 1115 matches the Rfam family "Archaeal large subunit ribosomal RNA", at positions 2542 to 2701 of the family's 2987-position model. The record is from RNAcentral. Lineage: Eukaryota; Metazoa; Arthropoda; Arachnida; Ixodida; Ixodidae.